Perca fluviatilis (European perch) is the source of this 116-nucleotide long non-coding RNA. RefSeq lists it as uncharacterized. The record is from RefSeq and is a predicted model, not a curated record. The transcript is spliced from 3 exons. NCBI's taxonomy places the organism in Eukaryota, Metazoa, Chordata, Actinopteri, Perciformes, Percidae.
CUGAAACUUUCUCCACCAACUCUUCGGUAUCCCUCCUGCUGCUGACUCUAGAACUCAUCUCUCUCCUGUCAUUCAGAUCAACAUGAAGAUCUCUAUCUUUGCUGGUGUUCUGCUGA